UUACGGCCAUAGCACGUUGAAACGACGGUUCCCGUAAGAUCACUGAAGUUAAGCAGCUAUGAAACUGAUCAGUACCUAGAUGGGUGAUUGCUUGGGGAUAUCAAGUGUUGUAA
Non-coding RNA from Acanthosepion pharaonis, 113 nucleotides. The record is from the annotation of a GenBank genome assembly. Lineage: Eukaryota; Metazoa; Mollusca; Cephalopoda; Sepiida; Sepiidae.